AUUUGGAAAAACCCACAACGGCUCUCUCUCUCCUAAAAUCCCAGAGGUCUCUCUCUCCACAUUCUCUCCGCUCUCCCUUCUCUCCUGUCCCGGCCACAACACCGAUUCUCUCUUUCUACUCGGCAGGUUCUAUCUCUCUCAUUGGGAAGAUCUUCGUUCUCUCUCUCUCUCUCGCAGUUGAUUUGGGUUUUCCUAUCUGGGUUUUGUUUUGGGGUUGAAUUUGAACGCUUUUGUACUAUUCUCUUGUGUUAUUUUGAUUUUUUUUUUUGUAUAACAAGUUGUUAUAACUAUUCGGUGGCUUUUGAUCGUUCGUUCUCUCUCUCUCUCUCUCUCUCUCUCUCUCCCGCAGUUGAUAUGGGUUUUCCUAUCUAGGUUUUGUUUUCGAGAUGAAUUUGAACGCUUUUAUACUAUUUUUAUUUGUUAUUUUGAUUGAUUUUUUGUAUAGCAACUUGUAUAACUAUUCGGUGGCUUUUGAAUUGGUGAGCAAUUAAAUAGUAAUAACCCUAAUGUGUGCUUUGUUAUUUAUAUGGGUAUUAAUUUAUGGUUUAUUUUGAACCUUUUGUGGAUUGGUUGGAUUGUUUGAUAAUGGAAUUGGAGGCUGCAAUCGUCUUUAUUUUUGUUAUUUUAUGGAAAACUAGGGUUUUAAAUUUAUUACCCAAAUACUUUAUGUUAACUGUAUAUUGCUAGAGGGUUGUUAUCUUAUGUGUGAAAUGACUGCAUAUAGAGUUUUUUUUUUUUUUUUUUUUUUUUUUACCUUCUCCUCACUCUAUAGCAAUUUUGACAAUUAAUUUUUUGUCUUCAAAUUUGAUCUCUUUGUAGGUGUGCUAAACCCUAACACGUUUCUUUGGGACUUUGCUUAAGAUAUUUUUGACUGUAGUUGGAAAGUAAUAUGGAGUUGUCUCUUGCAUGGGUUACCUAUGUUCAGCUGCAGUUGUAGAUGCUGCUUUGGUGCUCCUUGGAAACAUAAUUUCAUAUGUGAGUGCCAGAACAUGUAUCCUCUUAGACCGUGUUCUCAUACUUUAUUUGCGUUAUCCUUUUUUCUAAGCAAUUAGGCGAUGCCUUCUAUAAUAGUCCAUUUACAAACAUGUACAUGCUUUUAUUAUGAAAGUGUUUUUUUGUCACCUAUUCUUCUUUUAGGAUUUAAUAAACACAUGUCAUACCUCAAGAUGUGUGGGAUCUUAGGUUAUUUAAAAGAAUGCUAUCAGUGUAAGUGCAUUAUACUUUGAUUACAUGUCAGUGGAAACAAAUUCCAUUUAAUUCUCCAUGCCCGCUUCUUUAUGGUCUUUUAAAUAGAGGAACUAAGGAGAAAACAUUUGCAUUACUCAGGAUGUUAGUAUGUUUUGUCAAUUUUAGUUGACUGUUUAAUUUACGUGAUAUUUGCAAUAAUCACUUUUUUUUGUUUGGUUCAAAUGUGCGUGUAAGCACUUGUAAAUUGUUGAUUUUCCAUUAAAAGGCAGCCACCAUAGUAUGUUUUAUUCUUGUGUAAGAUAGAAUUUGUUAGCAUGAUGCGCUCAUUUUAAAGGUGGAGGGUUGAAAUUUCCACCCAGGAUGCAUUUACAGCUUAUACAAUGGCACUGCCAUCUCAACAGUUAGCUAAUCAACCUUUUAAUUUUGGUAGUUACAUUAUAGAAGUAUUGUAUUGGACCUUUGUUAACAUUGUGACAUAUUUUGUCAGUUAUAGCCUUUUGGUCUUUCCAAACACUAUCUUUUUGAUUGCUUCCAUUACCAGCAUUGGUACUUCUUUGGCCACAGCUCCUGAGAAACCAUUCCAAGUGUUAUGAGUAGUUUAUGCUAGGAAAAAUUAGUUAUAAUGAUUAGAAACAUCAUAUUAAUGAAAUGUCUUGUGUUAGGGUAAUUUAUUUUUUACCCUAUUCACUUCUUGAGAAUAACAAAACACAAGGUACUUGUCAACUUAAUGAAGCUGGGGUUGAGUUGCGGAACAUUUAAAUUUCAUGUGAGUUUGGGUUUUGACUUUUGUAUGAGUCAGGAUGUAUUCUUGGAUUGGCCACACAUCAGAUCUUUCUUCAUGAAAUUGAGAAUGCAAUUUACUUUAAUGCUUACAUGGUGUGUUUUUCUAUGUAAUGAGUUUCAGUUAUGGGAUGUGUACCAACAUUCGUACUUGUACAUAUUCACUUUCUUCAUUUUUGGGCAGAGUGACAUUCGUGAAAUUUUAAAUCUCAUGAAAGAGUCUCCUAAGAGCAGUUUUGGGACAUGCUAACUGGAAGGUCUGUUUUCUUAUAGUAUUAUGAAUAUGACAUACUCUUUAGUUUUCUAGUUGUUCUCAUUUGGUUUACAUUAUUUCUAAUCCAUUGAAGCGUAGAUGUCAAUGUUGAUGCUGAAAUCUGUUGUGGUACUUGUGAAUGUGAUCUUAAAGGCUGGAGCUUCAAGUAUUUUAGUUUACAAUGCAGAAAUAAUCCUUAUGGGUUAGAAUUUUGAAGUUCAAUGGUCUAAAAGAUCUUGCGUCUAAGAAAUUUGCAUUAUUUUUGGUAAACAUGACUUUUAGGUGGUAAGAUUACUUUCUUCCAUUGUUCUUCGUAGUCUCCCUGUGUUGGAUAUCCAUGACUAAAAAUUUCUCAGGUAGCUCAUAUUUCCUUGGUCUGGUUUUGGGUGAUGAAGGAACGCACCAUCAUUUAGUUGAUUGUGUUUUCUCAUCCCUGAAACUUAAAAGGGCUUGAACUAUUAGUAGUGUUUGAGAAGUUGACUAGUAGAUGUACUUGCAUUGCUGGUCUAUGCUCACCUUAACCACCACAGAUACUGUCUUAACGUGACCAUGAUAAAAGUAUUUUGUCCAUUAUAACUCCUAGAAAACAAAAGAGGCUGGAAUUUUCGUUUACUAGGGUAAGAAAUAUGUAUAGACCCCUAGGAAAAUUGUAUGGUUAUGCCAAAAUUAUUUAACCGAAUCCUCUGCUUUAUAAAACCUUAAAUAUUAUCCAUACUUCAAAGAUUUUUGCAGUGAGUUUACUAUUGCAAACUCAUUGUACUUCUCUUGUCAAUAAAGCUUUUGUUACCUAUCAAAAAAAUAUAUAUAUCUAUACUUCAAAGAGCCAGAGAUUGACAUGUUCUUCUUUUGAAAAAUAUUGCAAUAUACU
Molecule: long non-coding RNA, 3089 nt
Organism: Quercus lobata
Lineage: Eukaryota; Viridiplantae; Streptophyta; Magnoliopsida; Fagales; Fagaceae
Exons: 3
Source: RefSeq, a predicted model, not a curated record